Molecule: ribosomal RNA, 401 nt
Filed under: uncultured bacterium
Lineage: Bacteria
Description: partial 16S ribosomal RNA
Rfam family: Archaeal small subunit ribosomal RNA
Source: RNAcentral
CCACCGGCAGCUCUAGUGGUAGCAGUUUUUAUUGGGCCUAAAGCGUCCGUAGCCGGUUUAAUAAGUCUCUGGUGAAAUCCUGUAGCUUAACUGUGGGAAUUGCUGGAGAUACUAUUAGACUUGAGACCGGGAGAGGUUAGAGGUACUCCCAGGGUAGAGGUGAAAUUCUGUAAUCCUGGGAGGACCGCCUGUUGCGAAGGCGUCUAACUGGAACGGUUCUGACGGUGAGGGACGAAAGUUAGGGGCGCGAACCGGAUUAGAUACCCGGGUAGUCCUAACUGUAAACGAUGCGGACUUGGUGUUGGGGUGGCUUUGAGCUGCUCCAGUGCCGAAGGGAAGCUGUUAAGUCCGCCGCCUGGGAAGUACGGUCGCAAGACUGAAACUCAAAUGAAUUGACGGGG